This 73-nucleotide transfer RNA is filed under the name Actinomycetes bacterium. Its description in RNAcentral is "Actinobacteria bacterium tRNA-Ala". It matches the Rfam family "tRNA". Rfam says of the family: Transfer RNA (tRNA) molecules are approximately 80 nucleotides in length. Lineage: Bacteria; Bacillati; Actinomycetota; Actinomycetes. The record is from RNAcentral. RNAcentral also lists the same sequence under 1 other name.
GGGGCUAUAGCUCAGUUGGGAGAGCGCCUGACCGGCAGUCAGGAGGUCGAGGGUUCGAGUCCCUCUAGCUCCA